RNAcentral lists this ribosomal RNA (487 nucleotides) under uncultured bacterium. Its description in RNAcentral is "partial 16S ribosomal RNA". It matches the Rfam family "Bacterial small subunit ribosomal RNA", at positions 28 to 507 of the family's 1533-position model. The record is from RNAcentral.
GAUGAACGCUGGCGGCGUGCCUAAUACAUGCAAGUCGAACGCUGGAAAUCUAGCUUGCUAGAUUGAAGGAGUGGCGAACGGGUGAGUAAUACAUAAGCAACCUACCCACGAAGACUGGGAUAAUCUCUGGAAACGGGGACUAAUACCGGAUAGGUAAUCGGAAGGCAUCUUCUGAUUAUUAAAGGUUAAAAACACUGGUGGAUGGGCUUAUGGCGCAUUAGUUAGUUGGUGAGGUAACGGCCCACCAAGACGAUGAUGCGUAGCCGGCCUGAGAGGGUGAACGGCCACAUUGGGACUGAGACACGGCCCAGAAUCCUACGGGAGGCAGCAGUAGGGAAUUUUCGGCAAUGGGGGGAAACCCUGACCGAGCAACGCCGCGUGAGUGAUGACGGCCUUCGGGUUGUAAAGCUCUGUUGUAAGGGAAGAACGGUAGAUAGAGAAUAUCUAAAUGACGGUACCUUACCAGAAAGCCACGGCUAACUACGUG